UACGAAGGUGGCAAGCGUUGUUCGGAUUUACUGGGCGUAAAGGGAGCGUAGGUGGUGGGGUAAGCCCCGCGGGAAAGCUCCAGGCUUAACCUGGAAAGGUCGCGGGGGACUGCUCCGCUCGAGGACGGGAGAGGAGCGCGGAAUUCCCGGUGUAGCGGUGAAAUGCGUAGAUAUCAGGAGGAACACCGGUGGUGUAGACGGCUUUCUGGACCGUAACUGACGCUGAGACACGAAAGCGUGGGUAGCAAACAGG
RNAcentral lists this ribosomal RNA (253 nucleotides) under uncultured bacterium. RNAcentral's name for it is "partial 16S ribosomal RNA". It matches the Rfam family "Bacterial small subunit ribosomal RNA", at positions 524 to 776 of the family's 1533-position model. The record is from RNAcentral.